RNAcentral lists this non-coding RNA (175 nucleotides) under Micavibrio sp. RNAcentral describes it as "6S RNA". It matches the Rfam family "6S / SsrS RNA". From Rfam's summary of the family: E. coli 6S RNA was the first non coding RNA to be sequenced, but its function was unknown until recently. Lineage: Bacteria; Pseudomonadati; Bdellovibrionota; Bdellovibrionia; Bdellovibrionales; Pseudobdellovibrionaceae. The record is from RNAcentral.
UAGUUGCUGCGCUACGCGUGAUACAAUCUAAAUCCGAGUGGCCGAUAGCUAUUCGCUUGGGAGCUGUUCCUUGGCAGAUCGAAGUGUUUUGCCGCCUCGACUGCUGAUACGGCACCCCCCUGAUUUUCAGGGCCUCUUGCGGAUAGAUAACGUACACGGUAUGCGUGGCAACUUU